RNAcentral lists this ribosomal RNA (492 nucleotides) under uncultured bacterium. Its description in RNAcentral is "partial 16S ribosomal RNA". It matches the Rfam family "Bacterial small subunit ribosomal RNA", at positions 29 to 507 of the family's 1533-position model. The record is from RNAcentral.
AGUGAACGCUGGCGGUAGGCCUAACACAUGCAAGUCGAACGGCAGCACAGUAAGAGCUUGCUCUUACGGGUGGCGAGUGGCGGACGGGUGAGGAAUACAUCGGAAUCUACUUUUUCGUGGGGGAUAACGUAGGGAAACUUACGCUAAUACCGCAUACGACCUACGGGUGAAAGCAGGGGAUCUUCGGACCUUGCGCGAUUGAAUGAGCCGAUGUCGGAUUAGCUAGUUGGCGGGGUAAAGGCCCACCAAGGCGACGAUCCGUAGCUGGUCUGAGAGGAUGAUCAGCCACACUGGAACUGAGACACGGUCCAGACUCCUACGGGAGGCAGCAGUGGGGAAUAUUGGACAAUGGGCGCAAGCCUGAUCCAGCCAUACCGCGUGGGUGAAGAAGGCCUUCGGGUUGUAAAACCCUUUUGUUGGGAAAGAAAAGCAGCAGGUUAAUACCCCGCUGUUCUGACGGUACCCAAAGAAUAAGCAUCGGCUAACUUCGUG